Molecule: ribosomal RNA, 442 nt
Filed under: uncultured bacterium
Lineage: Bacteria
Description: partial 16S ribosomal RNA
Rfam family: Bacterial small subunit ribosomal RNA
Source: RNAcentral
CCUACGGGAGGCAGCAGUAGGGAAUCUUUCACAAUGGGCGAAAGCCUGAUGGAGCAACGCCGCGUGCAGGAUGAAGGCCUUCGGGUUGUAAACUGCUUUUAUAAGCGAGAAAUAUGAUGGUAACUUAUGAAUAAGGAUCGGCUAACUACGUGCCAGCAGCCGCGGUCAUACGUAGGAUCCGCGCAUUAUCCGGAGUGACUGGGUGUAAAGAGUUGCGUAGGUGGCAUAAUAAGUAGCUAGUGAAAUCUGGUGGCUCAACCAUUCAGACUAUUAGCUAAACUGUUAAGCUCGAGACCGUUAGGGGUAACUGGAAUUUCUAGUGUAGGAGUGAAAUCCGUAGAUAUUAGAAGGAACACCAAUAGCGUAGGCAGGUUGCUGGGACGGUUCUGACACUAAGGCACGAAAGCGUAGGGAGCAAACGGGAUUAGAUACCCCUGUAGUC